GGGUGGUUGAGGAAUAUACAUGUUGGUCUCACCACAGUUAGACAUUCUACACUGCAUACUGAAUUGGGUUGGUUGUGCACUGUGUGUAUUUCGUUGUAACGUUUCGGCAGCAUGUGGGUAGUGCUCUUCCUCUGUUGUCUACACCUAGUAGAGUCGCAGGCAGUCCCACCCGGAGAUGCACAUCCUCGCGGGGGUGCGGUUCCUCGCGCGGCUGCACCGCUUCCGGAUUUUGGAACUCAGCUGAGACUCCCUGAUGGCAUCCCAUACUCCAAGAGUUCUGGCAGAGAAAACACUGUUAAAAAUCCCCUCCACGUCCCCGAGUUCCUUCCCUUCGCCACGAACGCUCAGGGUGUUCCACAACUCUCAAUUAAGAACAUACAGGACAGUCUGAGAAAGCCAACCAAACAAGCGGACAAAGUGGUCACGCAGACGAAGCGCCCGAAUUUGGACGGGUUGACAAUUGAGCAGAUAAUAGAGAAGUUCGGACCCCCCGGGAACAAGCCUCAGCCCGAAGCGAGGAAUCCACCCCCUGGAUUUACCAGGCACCAAGUCUCCCCGGCUCUUCCCAGGACUCCGGUCGGGGACAGGGUGGCAAAGGAUGAACAUUAAGUGGCUUGUCAAAAAGAUGAACUAUCAACAACAACAACAAAAGUCGAAGACAGUGUAGGAUGUCGCAAUUUAGAGCAAAGAAGAAGAUAACAAAAUGCUUGCGUCUGAAGCGUUGCUUAUUCCUUUUUGACUAGGAACCAACUCUUUAAAAUACGUCAUCUUUCAUGACGGUAACAAAAACUGUAUUUGUUAGCAGUUGUACCAUGUAGCAUGGUACGCUAUAUUAUCGCGGUAGUUAACUUAUAAUGGAUCGCAGUGGCGAACGCUUACUAACCUAUUAAACAUGUCACACGCAAAAUGUUUCUUGUUCUGUAUUCCCACUUUUAUGACUCAUCAAUUAUUAUUGAUCGAUGUUGAUUUUCUUAACCGAGUUCAAUAGCGACUCAAUGGCGGGCAACAAUAUAUCAUCGCGGUAUCACUAUGUGGUGUGAUACGAGUGGAUUGUGUUGUUUAAAUAACUUUCUGUUUGGGAUUAUGCAUAAUCAGCAUGCAUACGACCUGUAGGUUGGGUCAAGGGACAUCGUCCAAACAAAUGGGUUCUUUCCUAACCAAUUUCGAAUGGAGGUAUUCCACUUAAAAACAUUCCACAAAAAAAGUUGACGUGUAUACUUACGAGUAGCCGUGACAGCGCAACGAGUCCGUUAUUUGAUCAAGCGAUGAAAUGUCGUGCUUAGAUUUCGAUAGUAAACAGUCAGCAGUGGGUGUGGAUUACGAGAUUUACCGAUACCGCGACAAUACAGAGCCCGCAAUCAUAGAGAGACACACUAUAUUAUCCGUACUUUUACUGUCACAUCUUGGUCCAUAUUCACAAAGCGAUAAAAGCUAAGUCCCACCUUCUUUAUUUUCACAUAUCUCCACUUCCGCUGUAUCUCUUGGAAAUCUACAAAUGACAUUCGUCUCAUUUUGAAUAGUGUCCAUGGCACCAAGGAUACCUGAUGAAAAGUUGGUACAAGAAAACCGAUGUUUCUCCAGAUGGUCACGAGUACUGAGUCACAGCAUAUGUUUUACAACCACGGAUCAUCACUUCAUGAAUAUGUCGCUCCGUUAACAAAUACAAUAUUGUUUCGGCAGAUAGUUAAUACAGGAUAAAACAUUUAAUGCCUUUUUGAUAUGGAAAUAUAAAGCAAGCCGUGGGUAACGUGGUUUUGUUUUAGGUAUAAUGGACUUACGACUGUCGUAGAGCUACGAUAGCUUAGGUAAGAACAUUUCAUUUUCAUGAUUUAUCGUACAGAGAACAACAUAAAGUUUAAGCAGAACACUAUCUAUCAAUGUGUAUAAACAUAUCAGUGUUUUAGACAUAUCUAUCAAUAUAUAUAUAUAUAAAUAUAUAUAUUGGUUCUAACUGCCUAUUGUCAAUGGUGGAUAAAUAUAAAAAUAUAAAGUACCGCGAUGUGUAGACAUGAACGUCUGUGAGAUUGAUCGCACAUCCUUGAGAGGACCAUGUAUGAUAACGGUAAAUUGCGACCCACUAGAAGUGAGAAAUUUCAAAUGGAGACAUGUUGUCGAACACUUCUUUGAAAAUCUUCAAAAGAGUUCAAAUGGCUGUCGUUUAUAUCCUUUCUCUUUUUUAAAUCAUAUCAAGUGAUAUUUAAAAGAUGUAGAUAAAAACAGGGAUGUGGUUUGGGGGUAAUUUCAUUUUAAUAGAGUGAAGGACUUUUGCCCUUUUCAUGCAAAAGCUAAAACUCUGCAUGUAAUUAAUUAUUUCAGAAAAUAUGCUAGCUGGUUUUUUGAUGGUUUUUUUAAAAUGGUUGCCUAUGUGCAAAUCAUUCUUGUUCUUUUUCUAGAAAAUGUUACAAUUCAGUUUCGCUUUACCAAGCAUUUACGGAUUUUAAGGUACAUGUAGUCAAUAUUUGUAUGAGACAAAAUAAAACACGACUUGAAAGGGUGAACAUUUGAGCAGUCUGUACGGAGUGUUUUAGUUUAAAGGAAGGUUUACUAUUCUAAAUCAGGAAGGGUGGGUGUGAAUAUGACAGUCACAAGCAAGACAUCAAUCUGACACGCAUGCAAUGUGUGUGGGGUUUUUUUUACAAUCAAUUAUCUUAAAUUAAACAUCUUAUUAUUAACUAUCUCUGUAACAAAAAUAGGACCCUUUCUGGAUUAAUAACGAAGUAUUGCAGAAAAAACGUAGUUAUCCAAUCUGUUCGUUCGCAAAAAAGCUUCAUUAUACUAUGAUUACAUUCUGUUAAUCGAUCUUAUACAUAUUUCAGUGCAUGUUUAUUGUUUUUUUAGUGAAUAUGUAAAACAUGAAUAAAAUGUAUCUUAUCGUUUGCCCAUUGUUGUUUUCCAGAAGUUCAUUAUCAUUGUAACAUCAGACUGGCGUCAGAUUUAGAUGGUCAAUUUCUUCCGGUCAGUAAUUCGUGGCACCGAUAGAGACGUCUAGGUCUUUAUCAGUUGUUUAUCCUUCUACCCUAGACAAGGUCGACAUCCGUAUCCUUAGGACAUAUACCAUGAUGCAAUGGGGUUAAGCUGAUUCUUCAGCUAUAUAAAUAUGAGAUGACACGAGAUGUCAUUAUAGUCCACCUUUGCAGAAUAGCAGCACCAGCUCUCAGAGGUACCUUCAUUGAAACCUAUCACUGAGCUCCUGCAACUCUUUGAUUUCACACUCUCGACAUGACGUCACUUCUGACCUUGUGCCUUGUGAUCUGUGUGGUGGGGUUCGCCGGGGCGGAUGGGAGGGAUUACUGGGACGGCACGCAGCCGACUAACAUCCCCCUGAAAAAUUAUCCCCCGGGAUUUCUAACGCUUGAAGAAAUUAAAACACUUUUCUCCACUGAUGUGGGUAUAAGUGGGCCAGUUCGUGUCACAGCUGAGCAAAUCAAGAUGUCGUUGAUGGGUAAGGACUGAACACUGCAAACGGAAGUUGAAAACGUUCUUGGUGACGUCAGACAUUGAACUGCCUUAGGUGCAAGGGGGUGCAACUCUCCUUCCUCUAUAGAGUACCGUGUGGCUGUCAUCACAGAGUAGUUCGCAAGUUCUAGAGUAGAACUGUGCCGGCAUAUACGGAAAGGAACCUGUUUAAGUGUGACAAAACUUUAGUUUACAUGCAUACACGGAAUACUGUCCUGAAACUGGAAUUUAUAAAUCUUUCACUUUUUGUUUGAAUAAAAUACGAUAAUAUU
Molecule: long non-coding RNA, 3728 nt
Organism: Haliotis rufescens (red abalone)
Lineage: Eukaryota; Metazoa; Mollusca; Gastropoda; Lepetellida; Haliotidae
Exons: 4
Source: RefSeq, a predicted model, not a curated record